UGGGGAAUAUUGCACAAUGGGCGAAAGCCUGAUGCAGCAACGCCGCGUGAGGGAUGACGGCCUUCGGGUUGUAAACCUCUUUUAGUAGGGAAGAAGCGAAAGUGACGGUACCUGCAGAAAAAGCACCGGCUAACUACGUGCCAGCAGCCGCGGUAAUACGUAGGGUGCAAGCGUUGUCCGGAAUUAUUGGGCGUAAAGAGCUCGUAGGCGGUUUGUCGCGUCUGCUGUGAAAUCCCGAGGCUCAACCUCGGGUCUGCAGUGGGUACGGGCAGACUAGAGUGUGGUAGGGGAGAUUUGAAUUCCUGGUGUAGCGGUGGAAUGCGCAGAUAUCAGGAGGAACACCGAUGGCGAAGGCAGAUCUCUGGGCCAUUACUGACGCUGAGGAGCGAAAGCAUGGGGAGCGAACA
Molecule: ribosomal RNA, 407 nt
Filed under: uncultured bacterium
Lineage: Bacteria
Description: partial 16S ribosomal RNA
Rfam family: Bacterial small subunit ribosomal RNA
Source: RNAcentral